CUAUGACGAUGGUUCUCCAUAUCGAGUACAGACACACUGUGUUCAGAUAGCACAGCAUCACUUCGUCCUUCAUAGCCCACUGAGUCCAGUAGGUAAACCAAGGAAAAGAUGGAUUAAUGCAGUGGAAAAAGACAGCAGGGAGAUCCUGAAAGUGUGAAACUGGAAAAGAGAAUCUGAAGACGGGCGAGUCUGGAGGCGUCAUUUAAAGGAGGUCGAGGCUUGACUUCGGGCUGUCGCGCCGUAGAAGAAGAUUAAAAGAAAGUUCACAGAAUACUGGUAUGUGUGGUCGGUACUGUCUCAGUUCCUGGUACCAUGUGGCUAGGUUCUUAUAUGUCACUUUCCUGGUGGCAUCAAAUACCAAGAUGCAGGCAUGAGCUUGGUGAUAGUAUGACGGGUGCAUGG
Molecule: long non-coding RNA, 402 nt
Organism: Zootermopsis nevadensis
Lineage: Eukaryota; Metazoa; Arthropoda; Insecta; Blattodea; Termopsidae
Source: RefSeq, a predicted model, not a curated record